GAUGAACGCUGGCGGCGUGCCUAAUACAUGCGAGUCGAGCGAACAGACGAGGAGCUUGCUCCUCUGACGUUAGCGGCGGACGGGUGAGUAACACGUGGAUAACCUACCUAUAAGACUGGGAUAACUUCGGGAAACCGGAGCUAAUACCGGAUAAUAUAUUGAACCGCAUGGUUCAAUAGUGAAAGACGGUUUUGCUGUCACUUAUAGAUGGAUCCGCGCCGCAUUAGCUAGUUGGUAAGGUAACGGCUUACCAAGGCGACGAUGCGUAGCCGACCUGAGAGGGUGAUCGGCCACACUGGAACUGAGACACGGUCCAGACUCCUAAGGGGGGCAGCAGUAGGGAAUCUUCCGCAAUGGGCGAAAGCCUGACGGAGCAACGCCGCGUGAGUGAUGAAGGUCUUCGGAUCGUAAAACUCUGUUAUUAGGGAAGAACAAAUGUGUAAGUAACUAUGCACGUCUUGACGGUACCUAAUCAGAAAGCCACGGCUAACUACGUG
This 497-nucleotide ribosomal RNA is filed under the name uncultured bacterium. RNAcentral's name for it is "partial 16S ribosomal RNA". It matches the Rfam family "Bacterial small subunit ribosomal RNA", at positions 28 to 507 of the family's 1533-position model. The record is from RNAcentral.